AGCCCAGGACUCUCCCUCGCCCGGCUCACGGCCCUGCCUGGGGGGCGCCUCCGGGAGCAGAUCACGAGCCCUGGGGCUCAGCCCUCAGGCGCGUCUAGCUCGGCGGUCACCCCAGUGCCGGGAGGACCCUGAAGACGCGCCCCAGGCGGCCCUACUCAGAGCCUCCUCCCAAGGCCCAGGAAUGCGGCGCUGUCGGAGGUGUGCGCGGUGGCCACACCGCUGUCCGGGUCCCCAAAGCGGGCCCCGCUCCCACUUCUCGCCUUGGCCCCGAACCCUGGGUCCAGCCCCAGCGCUUUGUGUGCGAACACCGCUCCGCCCCGGACCCAGCUCCGCCUUGGGGCCCCUCUCUGCCUGCCCCUCCGUGCCCGACUACACUGCUUCCCCUCCGGCGGGCGACUCAGCCCGGUCCAUCGUGGCGGCUUCCAGGGCGGCAGGCUCCGGGAGUACUCCCGGGGCCGGCUCCAAGGACUGUUCCCCUCCUCCCCACUCCCACUCCGCGGCGGCGGCGGGCGAGAGCGGCGACAUAGGGCCAGGGUCCGGAGCGGUGGAGGCUCCUGGCCGGGGAGCACGUCGCCCCACCCGGCAACGCGAGGAUGGUGGCGGCGCAGUCGGCUGCUUUGGGGUCUCAAGGCACAGGGGACGCGAGGCACAGAUGUCCCACAGCAGCCACUGCGGCUCCCGCAGCUGCUCCGCCGCCGCUGCCCGCCCCUCCCUGCUGCAGCUGGCGUGAUGGCAGCGGCAGCUCUGGACGCCCCACUGCUGCCACCAUCAGCCUUGUGAAAUAGCUUGAAAGAUCUAGCCACGUGAGCAGGACAGAAGUGCACAACAACCAUAUCUUGAUUUCUGUGGACCAGGUGGGGCCCCUGCCAGCCUUGCUAGACAGACCCAGGUGAACAGUCCUUCUAGGGGAUCUCAUCACCAGGCAAGCACGUGGUACGAGAAGAGCAGUCAUUAGGAAGGCCAUUUGGAAAAGCACAUCCUCUCUGUUCACGUGAGAUAUUUUACAUCCUCAUUCCUCAUCGCAAGCUUCCUGGGAUUUGGAGUGUCACAGACAAGAGGGUUGGGGGAGGCCAGUAGGUAUGGAUUUGUUUAUAUUAAAAUGAGCAUAUGAAUAUUUAUAUGUUUAUAUUAAAACAUAUAUGUUUGUUUAUAUUACAAUGAGCAUAUGAAUAUUUAUAUGUUUAUAUUAAAACAUAUAUGUUUGUUUAUAUUAAAAUGAGCAUAUGAAUAUUUCUGUAUACUUCAGAUAAACAUUCUUUUCCAUAAAUAAGCUUCAUCAUCCAGAAGCCAUGUUGAAAGUUGGUAAUCAAGGAUAGGAAGUGUUUCCAAGGGUUGUCAGUGAUUAAAUCAACCUUACCUUAGCAUACAUGUAUGAGAGAAGUUAGAUAAAUUAUACAUAGAGAGAUAGCUAGAUAGAUAAUAGAUAAAUAAGGUAGAUGACAGAUUAGAUACAGAUGAUAAACAGAUAUGCUAUCAGUCUAGAUCUAUUACUCACAGUCAGUCGUAUCACAGUGUAAUUCCAUCAACUUCAUUUGCAGCAAAAGAACAGCCCCUGAUGUACGCCUGUUUCCUGAAUAUUUGGAAAUAUUAAUAUUAAUAUAGAUAGAGUCAGCUUGCCAGUAUAAAGAAUCUAUCUCUCACUAUAGGCAGAGCCAUGUGUUGGAUAUUAUGGAGGAAUAUGUAUUAUUUUAAUCGUUUAAAAGACUAAUAAACUUCUAAUCUACUUUUGGGAGCCUCUGCUCAAGUUCCUGAGGUUCCUACUCUAAAAUCCACAUCACCCUCCAACUGCUCCCUAUGUGAGCCAUUAGGGAGCACAAUGAAUUAGAGAAUGAAUCCUAUUAGCCCACUAAAAAAUUAUCUUUCAAAGGAUGAAGACUGAUGCUAAGGAAAAAGAGAUGAGGCCUCCCUGGUUCCGCAUUAUUACUCCUUCCUUUCUUGGGUUACGGAUUGAACACUGACCUUUUCUUUCACUCUUCUGCAAGACAACCCCAUAAGAAAGCUGAAACCUGCUUUUGUGAAAGCCUAUGAUUACUAUAAGACAGGUGAGCAAAACAGAAUCCUAGAUAAACUCAGUUCUUUCCAGUGUGGUGUCUUUGAUGGAAAAAUAAAAUAAAAGCCAAUGUGUUUGGGGUUUUUUUCUUUUUUACUUUAUAUAGAUUUAGGGGGUACAAGUAUGGUUUUGUUACAUGGCUACAUUGCACAGUGGUGAAGUCUGGGCUUUGAGUGUAGCCAUCACCCAAUUAGAGUACAUUGUACCCAUUAAGUGAUUUCCCAUCCCUCUUGCCCUGUCACCCUCCCACCCUUCUGAGUCUCCAGUAUCUGUUAUCCCACUCUCUAUGUCCAUGUGUACAAAUUAUUUAGCUCCCACUUAUAAGUGAGAAUGUGAAGUAUUUGACCUCCUGUUUCUGAGUUAUUUCACUUGAGAUAGUAGCAACAAGGGUGGAAGUGGAGGCCAAACCUCAAUUCUUAAAGCAAUAAAAGUGUGGUAAACCCUUGUACAUCUUGUUUUCAGUUUAAUCUGUCUCCAUAACUUAUUUUUUCUUCCUUGGCCUACAAAACUACUGCCAAAACUACCUGUAAUAUACAUGUAUAUUGAUAUGUAAGCCUAUCAGUCGUGCAAAAUAAUCCAAAGUACCAAGAGUUUUACGUAGAAGUGCUUAUAAAUAAAGGCAUACAUAAAUCUUAAAAAGAUAAUAUAGCAAUGCAAAGAAAUAAAGAAGAGCCUAAGAACUAUACAAAUAAUUAUAGUAGGAACUAAGAGAGGGGUGAGAACUAUAGCGUUGAGUGGUCUUUAAACAGCAAAUGAAGAGGCUGGGCACAGUGGCUUAUGCCUAUAAUCCCAGCAGUUUGGGAGGCCAUGGCAGAAUGAUCUCUUAAAGCUAGAAGUUUGAGACCAGCCUGGGCAACUAAGUGAGAGCCCAUCUCUACAAAAAAUUGAAAAAUAAAAUCAGCCAGCAUGCUGGUACACACCUGUAGUAGUCCCAGCUACUCAGGAGGCUGAGGCAGGACGAUCAUUGGAACCCAGGAGUUUGAGGCUGCAGUGAGUGAAAGAGUGAGACCCCAUCCCUAAAAUACACACACACACACACACACACACCCCCCAAGUAAAAUUUCAGCUGGAAUAUAAAUCGUGGGUAUUAUACUGAUUUAUGGAGAGAAUUAUGCUAAGUCUUUCAGAUGAGGAAAACAUAUAAGAAAUAUCAUGCAAGAAAAAAGAAGCAAAUAUGGAACAAGAACUGAAAGAACACAUACCCGCGUGAUCCCCCCUAGUACUUUGCUUGAACACUGUAGCAUGAGCAGGCUUUGAUUUUCCACCAGAGUAACGGAUUAUACUAAUGGUAUCAAGAGUGGAAAUUCCUUGACCAUGUCUAUAUAUUUCCCCAGUGAGCUGACAUUUUUGUGAUCACGCAGGCCCUGAUUCAGUAUGGUUUGCAGUCCUUAAAUAGGUCAAAGCCUCUCCACAUAGCCCUGUCCCGUUGAAGCUCCCAUUCUCAAGCUUUUCUCCCAUUGUGUGUUUCAGAUGAAGCAAAUUUGCUGAAUACAGUGUCCCCUGCAGCCGAUAGGCAGUUUGCUCUACAUAUCCCAAGCCUUCAUUUUGCUCUCAAAAGCAGUCCUCCUAAAUACAAAAUCAUCUACAUCUUUUAUUAGUUGAUAUCAGAUUUAUCAUACUGCAAGGUAACGCAGAACUAUACAGCUUUGGAGAGGAACACUAACUUCCUGGAAGGUUUCCUGAUUUUCUUAUCAGAAGAGUGUAAAUGAAAUUACCCUGUGAUUAGGGUAGAUAUCUGAUGGAUUCCAUUCUCAGCCAUAACCAGUUUGGUCUCCUUUAGCAAAGCCCUGCUGCUGUCCAUAUCCAAUUAGAAUUAAAUUCACUCCUUGGCAAGCCCGAAGUCAUCCUGUUCGCUUUCCUCUUCUCUCCACAGGCACAGAGCAAGAAAAUGUUUGAGGCUUGUGUCUAUAAACAAGACUUGGCUGGAAUCCCCAGACCCACGACUUUUUAAAAGGAUAUUUUGUCCCUGCAAUACAGAUACUGAAUGAGGUUGGCAAAUAAAUAUGUAU
Molecule: long non-coding RNA, 4059 nt
Organism: Homo sapiens (human)
Lineage: Eukaryota; Metazoa; Chordata; Mammalia; Primates; Hominidae
Product: long intergenic non-protein coding RNA 612
Source: Ensembl